This 214-nucleotide long non-coding RNA is filed under the name Elaeis guineensis (African oil palm). RNAcentral's name for it is "long non-coding RNA (EGUI_LNC044584)". Lineage: Eukaryota; Viridiplantae; Streptophyta; Magnoliopsida; Arecales; Arecaceae. The record is from RNAcentral.
UGCCAGUGAUACUCUAACAUUUAGCACUUGCCGAUAGCUCUACUUUCUCUAAUUAGCUCCCCUUGGCCGUUCACUCAGUGAGGUGGACUUUCUUGGUCCUUUUCCAUAGGCCAUCGAGCAAAGAAAAUUCUUUAUUGUAGCAAUCAACUACUUCACCAAAUGGAUCGAAGUCAAGCCACUUGUCCAGAUCAUCGAGAAGAAUACCUGUGACUUC